GUCUUGUUGAUAAUAAUUUCAAGUCUAACCUGCCCUAUGAAAUUUUUAAAUGGCCGCAGUAUUUUAACUGUGCAAAGGUAGCAUAGUCAUUAGUUUUUUAAUUGAAAGCUUGUAUGAAGGGUUUGAUGAAAAAAUUUCUGUCUCUUUAAAAAUUUAUUAGAAUUUUAUUUUUAAGUGAAAAAGCUUAAAUGUAUAUAGAAGACGAGAAGACCCUAUAGAGUUUUAUAUUUGUAUAUAAAUUUAUAAUUUGGGAUUUUAGUUUAAUUUAUUGAGAAGUAUUUAGUUGGGGUGAUUAAAAAAUUUAAAAAACUUUUUUUUGUAUAAAAACAUUAAUUUAUGAGUUUUUGAUCCUGUAGUAUAGAUUAAAAGAAGAAAUUACCUUAGGGAUAACAGCGUAAUUUUCUUUAGAGUUCUUAUCGAAAAGAAAGAUUGCGACCUCGAUGUUGGAUUAAAAUUUAUUUUUGGUGAAGAAGCUAGAUUUAUUAGGUCUGUUCGACCUUUAAAAUUUUACAUGAUCUGAGUUUAAACCGGUGUGAG
This 537-nucleotide ribosomal RNA is filed under the name Trigonopterus sp. 699 AR-2022a. RNAcentral's name for it is "partial large subunit ribosomal RNA". It matches the Rfam family "Bacterial large subunit ribosomal RNA", at positions 1829 to 2625 of the family's 2925-position model. Lineage: Eukaryota; Metazoa; Arthropoda; Insecta; Coleoptera; Curculionidae. The record is from RNAcentral.